This 368-nucleotide unclassified non-coding RNA is filed under the name uncultured fungus. RNAcentral's name for it is "partial contains small subunit ribosomal RNA, internal transcribed spacer 1, and 5.8S ribosomal RNA". The stretch from base 1 to 73 matches the Rfam family "Eukaryotic small subunit ribosomal RNA", at positions 1759 to 1831 of the family's 1831-position model. Lineage: Eukaryota; Fungi. The record is from RNAcentral.
CCAAACUUGGUCAUUUAGAGGAAGUAAAAGUCGUAACAAGGUUUCCGUAGGUGAACCUGCGGAAGGAUCAUUAGUGAAUAAACUUGUGUGGGUUGUUGCUGGCUCCCUCGGGGGUAUGUGCACACCUGCUCAUUGUUUCAUUUCUCCCUUCCACCUGUGCACUCUCUGUAGACCAAACUGUGACUUCUGUCAGGUAUAUCUAUACCUGGUGUGAGGAUUUGCUCAGGCUAUCCUUGUAUGGUUUGGUCUAUGUUUUUAUUGAACCAAUUGUAUGUUAUUGAAUGUCUUGUGUUGGGUUAUACAACCCAUAAAUUUAUACAACUUUCAACAACGGAUCUCUUGGCUCUCGCAUCGAUGAAGAACGCAGC